RNAcentral lists this transfer RNA (57 nucleotides) under Bos taurus (domestic cattle). It matches the Rfam family "tRNA", at positions 8 to 63 of the family's 71-position model. From Rfam's summary of the family: Transfer RNA (tRNA) molecules are approximately 80 nucleotides in length. Their secondary structure includes four short double-helical elements and three loops (D, anti-codon, and T loops). The record is from Rfam by way of RNAcentral. RNAcentral also lists the same sequence under 1 other name. Lineage: Eukaryota; Metazoa; Chordata; Mammalia; Artiodactyla; Bovidae.
UAGCUCAGUAGGUAAAGAAUCUGCCUGCAAUGCAGGAGACCCAGGUUCCAUUCCUGG